CCGGGCUAACUUGCGCACCUUGCCUCCCUCCUCCUGAGUUCCCCCGCUUUCUCAAAAUAAAUAAAUAAUUGCAGUUUAGUCCUUUUACCCCAAUACGUAUAUGAACGUAACCUAGAAUUUUGACUUUGGAAAAUAAAAUAAUAAAUAAAUAAAAAGCUUCAAAAAUAAAAAAAAUAAAAAAGGGUGAGAGAGAGAAAGAAAGAAAGACCGUUCCGUUUCUCUAACAUGCGCCAUAUGGUAUUCACCACCAGCACAACCACAACCGCCACCACCAUGCCAGCGUCGUCCUCCUACUCACCCGCCACGCCAUCAUCAUCGUCACCGAGCUCCAAGGCCCCCAAAUCCUCAAACCCUAACCCUAACUCUCUCCUUUGCAAGCACUCACCUUCGGCCACCCUCGACCUCCUCAUCCUCAUCCUCGUCCUCUUCUCCGGCACAUUUCUCCUCACCUCCUACUUCUCCUACAUCUUCAAUUCCCUCUCACUCCUCCUCUCCACCUCCACCAUCCAUAUCCAUAUCCAUCUCCACCACCAACAGCUCCCUUACAUUAUCGGCUUCGUCGUCUUCUUCCUCUUCGCCGUCUUAUUCGUUGAGUUCUGCUGCGGCGCCCGAUCGCGCAAGUGCGAUAAGCCUGGAUGCCAGGGUUUGAAAAAUGCUAUGGAGUUUGAUUUAAAAUUGCAGAAGGAGGACACUAUCAAGACUGGUUCUAAGGAGAUCGAUAGGUUGCCUUGGAAGGGCGGCAGCGAAGCUAACCCUGAUUAUGAGUGCCUCAGGUCCGAGCUUAGGAAGAUGGCCCCUCCCAAUGGCCGCGCCGUCUUGCUGUUUCGUACCCGGUGCGGCUGCCCCGUCGCUAAGCUCGAGGGAUGGGGCCCUAAACGUGGUCGGCGGCAUAAGAAGGUUAUUUGCAUUGCUUGAUGGGUGUAUAAUACUAAGAGAUGAAAGGAAUGCCCAUUACAGAGGAAUUUAUCAUAGACGUUGGUUCUUGGUAGUAAGACAUGUUCAAGGGCUCUGGCUAGUGUGGCACUCAAAGGAGGCGUUCGUCGCUGAUUGUUUGGGAUACAAUGGCCUUAAUUUUUAUUUAUCAUUUUCCCCUUUUAACUCGUUAGAAUUUAGAUGUUCUUUACUUCCUUCUACUCAGACUUCAUUCUCCAUUGAAAAACAAUUCUUUGGUGAGGGCACGUUAAACGUGACAAAAAGAAGUGGUACUGGCGUUGGCAAGCAUAAUCUCAUCUCAAACAGCUUGCUUGACGUUUGUAAAAGGAGAUAUAUAUACCAAAUUUAUUUGAAAUAAACUUAUAAAAUGAACACUAGUACUUUUUAGUUUAAGUGGGGUUUCUUAAGAUGCAUUGCAUGGACUCUGAUUUGGUUAUACAGGGAAGGAGAAGAAUAUUUGUAUGUAAAACAAUCAAGACAAUGUGCAUUAAGAUUGCUACAAAUGAAGUUUGCCCUCCAUUGGCGAUUAAAUGUU
RNA transcript from Humulus lupulus (European hop), 1468 nucleotides. RefSeq lists it as uncharacterized. The transcript is spliced from 4 exons. The record is from RefSeq and is a predicted model, not a curated record. Lineage: Eukaryota; Viridiplantae; Streptophyta; Magnoliopsida; Rosales; Cannabaceae.